AGAGUUUGAUCCUGGCUCAGAUUGAACGCUGGCGGCAGGCCUAACACAUGCAAGUCGAGCGGUAGAGAGAAGCUUGCUUCUCUUGAGAGCGGCGGACGGGUGAGUAAUGCCUAGGAAUCUGCCUGGUAGUGGGGGAUAACGUUCGGAAACGGACGCUAAUACCGCAUACGUCCUACGGGAGAAAGCAGGGGACCUUCGGGCCUUGCGCUAUCAGAUGAGCCUAGGUCGGAUUAGCUAGUUGGUGGGGUAAUGGCUCACCAAGGCGACGAUCCGUAACUGGUCUGAGAGGAUGAUCAGUCACACUGGAACUGAGACACGGUCCAGACUCCUACGGGAGGCAGCAGUGGGGAAUAUUGGACAAUGGGCGAAAGCCUGAUCCAGCCAUGCCGCGUGUGUGAAGAAGGUCUUCGGAUUGUAAAGCACUUUAAGUUGGGAGGAAGGGUUGUAGAUUAAUACUCUGCAAUUUUGACGUUACCGACAGAAUAAGCACCGGCUAACUCUGUGCCAGCAGCCGCGGUAAUACAGAGGGUGCAAGCGUUAAUCGGAAUUACUGGGCGUAAAGCGCGCGUAGGUGGUUAGUUAAGUUGGAUGUGAAAUCCCCGGGCUCAACCUGGGAACUGCAUUCAAAACUGACUGACUAGAGUAUGGUAGA
Molecule: ribosomal RNA, 652 nt
Filed under: uncultured Pseudomonas sp.
Lineage: Bacteria; Pseudomonadati; Pseudomonadota; Gammaproteobacteria; Pseudomonadales; Pseudomonadaceae
Description: bacterial SSU rRNA
Rfam family: Bacterial small subunit ribosomal RNA
Source: RNAcentral